This 735-nucleotide long non-coding RNA is filed under the name Homo sapiens (human). RNAcentral's name for it is "HSALNT0003011". Lineage: Eukaryota; Metazoa; Chordata; Mammalia; Primates; Hominidae. The record is from RNAcentral.
CUGGGAUCCUAACACUCGGGUGGCCGAGAGGGCGAUGUGGCUGAGGCAACAGGGAAAGGGGGCUGGACUGGGCUGGGGGCUGGAGGAGGGGCCAGUCCCGAGGGGACGGGGCUCCAACCUCACCUUCCUGCUGUCGUGGAGAAGAAAAGUGGUAAUGACCGCUACUGUGCACUGGGCUCUCGCUCUGUGCUUUGCUUGUGUUUGCUCAGUUAAUCCUCCCAACAUGCCUCUAAGCCACCUAUGGGCAACAAGGUCUCCAAGGAAACUCCAGAACAUUCUGUGGGUUUCAGUGGUUACCUGCUGAGGCGGCAUUGGGCAUGGAGCAUCCGAGGGUCCAAGACACACCAAACAGGACCCUCCAGCCUGCCCAGGUGCAAGACCCUGCUGGGCCUGGGUGAGGUGAGAUGCACCAGUGCCAGCUCCAAUCUGCCCUUGCCAAAUGCUCUUCCAAAUUGGCUCCGUGAAACCAGAACCGUGAAAUCCCGUCAGGAUAGCUGGAGGUAAGCACAGCGGUGGAAGGAUUUAGACCACGUCGAAACGGCUCAUGGACAAGAGGGUGAGAACCCGUGGACUCCUGGGCAAAGGCACCAUCGGGAACAUUAAGAAAGCAAUCCCACCUCAAACCCACAACCAAAAUAUUUUAUAAGAACCCUCCCUUCCCCCCCCACUCUCUUUUUGUCAAGUAAAGGAUACACACGGCCUUUCUACUUGUAACCUGGCCAAGAAUAAUUUGUG